Molecule: ribosomal RNA, 253 nt
Filed under: uncultured bacterium
Lineage: Bacteria
Description: partial 16S ribosomal RNA
Rfam family: Bacterial small subunit ribosomal RNA
Source: RNAcentral
GACGAACCGUCCAAACGUUAUUCGGUAUCACUGGGCUUAAAGGGUGCGUAGGCGGUCUGGUAAGUUGGGUGUGAAAUCCCUCGGCUCAACCGAGGAACUGCGCCAAAUACUGCUAGACUUGAGGGAGGCAGAGGUAAGCGGAACUUGCGGUGGAGCGGUGAAAUGCAUUGAUAUCGCAGGGAACACCAGUGGCGAAGGCGGCUUACUGGGCCUUUUCUGACGCUGAGGCACGAAAGCUAGGGGAGCGAACGGG